This 406-nucleotide long non-coding RNA is filed under the name Androctonus crassicauda. Lineage: Eukaryota; Metazoa; Arthropoda; Arachnida; Scorpiones; Buthidae. The record is from RNAcentral.
GCCAUAUCACAUCGUGUUUCUCACUGGGGUCUUGGAACCUGUGGAUCUUAGUCCCUACACAGUCCCUCUGAGGCAUGCUCAAAUGCCCUGCCAGCAAGCUAGAACCAGACUCAGGGUUAGGUCAGAGCGCAUGCCCUUAGCCUCACCUCCCACCUGUCAGUGAGGAUGGCUCCUGUGUUCUGAAAGCUACUCUCUGUGUGAGACCAUGUGAGAGCUGAGUUAGGGUGGUUGGAGUGGCCUUGGUACAGCAUGCAGCCCUGUUAGUCUCUGCCUCUGGCCUCUGGUGGAAGCAAGCUGGUUUGAGACCCUGGCAGAGCAGGGAAGAGGUUCUCUCUGGUCCAUUUCCUUCUAAAACCCUGGAGGAGAUUGCUGCUGUGUCCCUUUCAGUGCUGGGCCCAGACACUGC